GGGGGCGUUUUUGGAUUCGACGGGGAUAGUUCGAGCAUGAGUAGCGGGUAGUGGGGCUGCGUCCACUUCAACAACGCGAACGCCAAUUUAACUGGCAAACAACAACCAAAACUCGCUUUCGCAGCUUAAUAACCUGUGAUGCGGCUUCUACCCUGCAUCGCCCAUGUGCCGGGAUAGGGGCUCAACCUUAGUGGGAUACGCUGUCUAGUCUCCGCCUGGGGCUAGCUGAAGAAGACAAUCAGGCUGACCUGAAGAGUAGCCGGUGACGGGGCGACUCUAGGGUGACAUCAAAUCUGUCACUACACCCGUAGAAGCUGGUGUGGCGUUAUCUUCGGACAGGGGUUCGACUCCCCUCGCCUCCAUUA
This 365-nucleotide transfer-messenger RNA is filed under the name Paenibacillus oceani. It matches the Rfam family "transfer-messenger RNA". Rfam says of the family: Bacterial tmRNA, also known as 10Sa RNA or SsrA, is named for its dual tRNA and mRNA-like properties. RNAcentral also lists the same sequence under 1 other name. Lineage: Bacteria; Bacillati; Bacillota; Bacilli; Caryophanales; Paenibacillaceae. The record is from Rfam by way of RNAcentral.